UUAUUUUGAACUAGAUUUAUAUUACCAGGUUAGUAGUAGUUAUGUGCUUGAAAAUUAAAGAAGAUGGCGGUAUUUUAGUCUAUUCAGAGGAACCUGUCCUAUAAUCGAUGAUCCACGAUUUAUUAUACUUAUUUUAUAAGUUUGCAUAUCGCCGUAGAUUGAAUGUCCUUGAAGGGAUUUAAACAUUCAAGAGGUUUUUAUUUGUGAAAUUAAAUCAGGUCAAGAUGUAGCUAAAAAUAAGAAGAGAUGGGUUA
Molecule: ribosomal RNA, 254 nt
Filed under: Galapaganus darwini
Lineage: Eukaryota; Metazoa; Arthropoda; Insecta; Coleoptera; Curculionidae
Description: partial 12S ribosomal RNA
Source: RNAcentral